This is a long non-coding RNA of Drosophila obscura, 779 nucleotides long. RefSeq lists it as uncharacterized. The transcript has 2 exons. The record is from RefSeq and is a predicted model, not a curated record. Lineage: Eukaryota; Metazoa; Arthropoda; Insecta; Diptera; Drosophilidae.
GAUGAACCCGACGGUCGUACGUAUUUUUAGAAAACGCCGAUAAUUGCCACAACUAAUGUCAAAGUAGUCCAACUGCGACUACUAUAAAAACUUACGAGCACGAUCGGAAAAUUGCAGUUCCAUUUGAAACAUUGCAAGAUGCAGUUCUGUCUGAUUAUAGUCCUGGCCGUACCGAGCCUGACUAAUGCCGUACCCACUAACGUACCAACGGAGUCAGAUUCAGAAUCGGAAAAGAUUCAUUUUUGAAAAUUUCUAGAAUCAUUCGCUGAAAUUAGGACGGGACUUUAUGGAGUUAUCUUGGGACACAACUUGGACUAUAUGGCUAAAGCAAACCGACGCAUAGUCGAAGAGGCAGCCCGAUUGAAGGAGAGCCUAAGUGAGGAAACUGUGGCCACAGAGCAACUACUCUUCGAUGACAUUGAUAAAUUUAAAAAAUCACAGAAAAGGGGCACUUAAUAAGCAACCUUGAACCUAAGAUCAAAGCCAAAUAUCAGUGUUGAAAAAUAGGAAUGGCUAUUGAAAAUUCAAAGAUUAUGAUUCAUAUCUAUUCUAUUAUUGUAUCAUUUUGUUUCCUGCAAAACACACAACAAAUUUUAAUCAGUUUUCACAGUAAUGGAGCACUGAACACUGCUGGUCGAAUGUUCUACAAAGUUAAAAUAUUUCGUUCCAGAGGUUUUUAUCUAAUAAUUCCUUUGCGUUGGGAAAUUUUGAAAGACUGUUAAAAUUUUUAAAGUUUGCAAAAUUAGUAAGCUCAAUGAAAUAUUAUUAAUUACAUCAAC